Molecule: transfer RNA, 89 nt
Filed under: Synarthrophyton chejuense
Lineage: Eukaryota; Rhodophyta; Florideophyceae; Hapalidiales; Hapalidiaceae
Description: tRNA-Ser
Rfam family: tRNA
About the family: Transfer RNA (tRNA) molecules are approximately 80 nucleotides in length. Their secondary structure includes four short double-helical elements and three loops (D, anti-codon, and T loops). Further hydrogen bonds mediate the characteristic L-shaped molecular structure. tRNAs have two regions of fundamental functional importance: the anti-codon, which is responsible for specific mRNA codon recognition, and the 3' end, to which the tRNAs corresponding amino acid is attached (by aminoacyl-tRNA synthetases). tRNAs cope with the degeneracy of the genetic code in two manners: having more than one tRNA (with a specific anti-codon) for a particular amino acid; and 'wobble' base-pairing, i.e. permitting non-standard base-pairing at the 3rd anti-codon position.
Source: RNAcentral
GGAGAGGUGGUAGAGUUGGUCGAUUGCGUCUGAUUUGAAAUCAGAUGAACCUGUAUAAGGUUCCGUGGGUUCGAAUCCCACCCUCUCCG